AUUGAACGCUGGCGGCAGGCCUAACACAUGCAAGUCGAGCGGAUGAAGGGAGCUUGCUCCUGGAUUCAGCGGCGGACGGGUGAGUAAUGCCUAGGAAUCUGCCUGGUAGUGGGGAUUAAGGUCGGGAAACGGGGGUUAUUACGGCAAAGGCCUGGAGGGGGAAGGGGGGGGUUCUUCGGACCUCAGGUAUUCGGAGAAGCUUAGGUCGGAUUAGCUAGUUGGUGGGGUAAAGGCCUACCAAGGCGACGAUCCGUAACUGGUCUGAGAGGAUGAUCAGUCACACUGGAACUGAGACACGGCCCAGACUCCUACGGGAGGCAGCAGUGGGGAAUAUUGGACAAUGGGCGAAAGCCUGAUCCAGCCAUGCCGCGUGUGUGAAGAAGGUCUUCGGAUUGUAAAGCACUUUAAGUUGGGAGGAAGGGCAGUAAGUUAAUACCUUGCUGUUUUGACGUUACCAACAGAAUAAGCACCGGCUAACUUCGUG
This 484-nucleotide ribosomal RNA is filed under the name uncultured bacterium. RNAcentral's name for it is "partial 16S ribosomal RNA". It matches the Rfam family "Bacterial small subunit ribosomal RNA", at positions 30 to 507 of the family's 1533-position model. The record is from RNAcentral.